Ribosomal RNA from Petromyzon marinus (sea lamprey), 119 nucleotides. The record is from Ensembl. NCBI's taxonomy places the organism in Eukaryota, Metazoa, Chordata, Hyperoartia, Petromyzontiformes, Petromyzontidae.
GCCUACGACCAUAUCACCCUGAAUGCGCCCGAUCUCGUCUGAUCUCGGAAGCUAAGCAUGUUCGACCCUGGUUAGUACUUGGAUGGGAGACUGUCUGGGAAUACCAGGUGUUGUAGGCU